RNAcentral lists this ribosomal RNA (119 nucleotides) under Spermophilus dauricus (Daurian ground squirrel). The record is from RNAcentral. Lineage: Eukaryota; Metazoa; Chordata; Mammalia; Rodentia; Sciuridae.
GUGUACAGUCAUAUCACCUUGAACAUGUCCAAUCUUGUGUGAUCUCAGAAGUUAAGUAAGGUCAGGCCUUUUUAAUACUUGGAUGAAAGACAUAAAACAGAUUUAGGGAUUUGGAAUCU